GAUGAACGCUGGCGGCGUGCCUAAUACAUGCAAGUCGAGCGAACAGACGAGGAGCUUGCUCCUCUGACGUUAGCGGCGGACGGGUGAGUAACACGUGGAUAACCUACCUAUAAGACUGGGAUAACUUCGGGAAACCGGAGCUAAUACCGGAUAAUAUAUUGAACCGCAUGGUUCAAUAGUGAAAGACGGUUUUGCUGUCACUUAUAGAUGGAUCCGCGCCGCAUUAGCUAGUUGGUAAGGUAACGGCUUAUCAAGGCAACGAUGCGUAGCCGACCUGAGAGGGUGAUCGGCCACACUGGAACUGAGACACGGUCCAGACUCCUACGGGAGGCAGCAGUAGGGAAUCUUCCGCAAUGGGCGAAAGCCUGACGGAGCAACGCCGCGUGAGUGAUGAAGGUCUUCGGAUCGUAAAACUCUGUUAUUAGGGAAGAACAAAUGUGGAAGUAACUAUGCACGUCUUGACGGUACCUAAUCAGAAAGCCACGGCUAACUACGUG
This 497-nucleotide ribosomal RNA is filed under the name uncultured bacterium. RNAcentral's name for it is "partial 16S ribosomal RNA". It matches the Rfam family "Bacterial small subunit ribosomal RNA", at positions 28 to 507 of the family's 1533-position model. The record is from RNAcentral.